Molecule: long non-coding RNA, 5372 nt
Organism: Podarcis muralis (Common wall lizard)
Lineage: Eukaryota; Metazoa; Chordata; Lepidosauria; Squamata; Lacertidae
Source: Ensembl
AUGCCCUCCCUUAGCCUGGGUUUCCUGCUGAGUGUGGAAGAAUGUUUGGAUGCCAGGUCCGAGCGGGGUUUCGGGGCAGUGUGUCCCUGGGCAAGAAGCUUCUGUCGCUGGAGGAGCCGAUGGGCCUCCUGGGGGACAUGUUGCCAUUUGUGGUGGACGGACCAGCCCUCUCUCAGCUGGCCCUGUUUGACGGCGAGGACGAGGCCUCCGUGCAGAGCGGGCAGCAUUUCCAGCUGGGGGAGGAGCUGCUGGUGGAACUGGACCAGGCCACCUGAGGUGGUGGCCCCCUCUGCUGCUGCCGCCGCCGCAAAACCUUCACGCCACACUCCUUCUCCGCAGAUGGGACGAAAGCAGAACCAAACCCCACCCAAAAUCACCCAUGAGAGGCAGAGGAGGGGAGGGGGCCCUCCUUUCCCUCCCCUCCUCCUCUUCCAACCGCCCCACCCCACCCAAACGCCCUCCUCUCUCUCUCUCUCUUUACCUCCUCCCACCCCCAAAUCUCCGCCGGCGUCCUUUGAACUCUUCCUACCUCAGUCCUGUCCUCAUCGGGCAGCCUCUCCCCUCCGGAGAUGGCGAGGGAGAAAGGCUUAGCCUAAUUUAGGAGCCUGCGUUCAUAGGGACUGUCCCACCCCCCCACUACAAACCAGCUCCCCCUCCCCAAAUAUUGGUGCUUAUGUAUCCUCUUUUCCUGAGAUGGGAAGCAGAAGUGGGGUGGAAGGAAAGGAGUUGGGGGGCCCAUAUUCACGCGGGAAGACUCCGUUCUGUCAAAUCCCCCAAAUUGAGAGGAGAGUCGGGGCGAAGGGAUGGUCAGGGGUUGGAGACGGGGGUGUCGCUCUCCCCUGAGAAAUGAGGGAGGCAGGGCGACGCCUGAAUGGGAAGGAAGCCGCCCCUCCGCUGUGACCCUCCUGCUGGCUUCCAUCACGAGUUCACCCAUUCCAGAAGGAACUGGGACCACCCAGGAGGCAAACUUUAGGGUUGGGCGGCACUGGGCUUGGUCUUGCACCGCCAAGACUUAGGGAGGGAGAGGCUGAAUCACUGUUCUUGCCUCUCUGACGUCCCAGAAUCCUUCAGGGGAGCCUCUUUGGCGACAGCGCCAUACUCAUUUACCUCCCCAUAGCUCUUGCCUUGUGAAUGAGAUCCGGGAGCACUUCUGGGGAAGAAAGUUUUGGGUGUUAUUCAAGCACCCCUGGCCCCCUUGUUCCCAGUCGUCCGGACUGGUUUUUUCCCCCGGAAGUGGCCCAAAACUUAAAAGAGAUGGAAAUGGAUUUCUCCCAGAGGAGAGGAAGGGAACCACGGUGCUCUGGCCGAAUUUUUUGACCCGCUUUUACGGUCUGUUUACGCUUAUAAAAAGAGGCCGAAAUGUUUCUGGUGGUCAAGCGACCACAAGUUUUAAAAGGUCUAAAAACGUAUUGUACAGGGAGCAGAGAAAUAUUUUCUUCUUAAAAACAAACAAAAAACCUUUUUUUUUUUUCAAAAAAGAGAUGGGAUUCUAUAUCUUGCUCCUGCCUCACCAGAUAUAUUUCUAAUUUUUAAUAAGUCCUUCCUCCUCCCCCCCCCCCCGCACUUUGUCACUACCUAGGGGUGGUUGGGUUGCUUUUUUGGGUGGGGGGAAGUUUCUUGAAUCCUAAAAAUGGGUGAGAUAUGUGCAGGCCACUCCCCUCCCCAUCCCCCACCCCACUCUCACAAACCUUGGCACCGAAAAAGGUAGGUUUUUAACCUCACAAUAGCCACAGGUAGCUGGGCAGUGGAUGGUUGAUUUCGAAAUUCUAAAAGGAAAGUUUAAGGAGCCUAGAUGUUGCUUUCACAAUCUUGAAACUUUUAAAGACAAUCUUUAGAAAGUUCCUCAAUUUGAAAUGGGGUGGGGAGGCUGACCUAUUUUUUAAAAAAUUAGGAUUGGGAACUCGCCACAAAGAUCACACUGGCUCUUAAACAAAGUAAAUUUGAACUGCAAUCAGCCUAAAUAUAGGUUGCCAGGAAAUGGCAUUUUUUGCCAAUAAGUUCUACUUAAAACAGGGUGGAAAAAGGACAUUUGAAAGAGGAAACCUCCCUCUUUCUCGUGUUUUUUUGCCCCUGAUCCUGAACGCGUUUACACGUUGAGACUUAACUUCUGAGUAGCUGUGUACAGGACUGAGAUUCCACCCUUCACUCUCGCUUUUUUAAAAAAACAGCCUGAUCUUGCACGUUUACUCAGAAGUAAGCCCCCAUGGUGCUCACUGGGCUUACUUUGCUUCUGGGUUAGCAUGCCUAGGAUUGUAGCUUAGUUGCAUCAUGCGCUGUCAGCAUGGAAAGGUUGGUCAUUCUUGGCUGCUGCGAAAAUAAAAUAAGGCAGAAGUUUUGUGGUAAGACUCGCAAAACCCCGUGACUUGAAGCGACGCAAACGCUCGCAUUCGCCACCAAUUUUCCCUGUUUUCGCGCUUAAAAAUGAGCUACUUUUCCAUUCUGCCCAAAGAGGAAGAGUUCUGCGUAACUCGAAACCUUGCAUAAUUCCUGCACUAGCAAACGUCGCCUAAGAUUGAAUUGCCUUACCUCUUUUAUACCCUUUUGGUAUAAAAGGCCACCGUAGUGUUAGCUGGCGCUCAUAGUAGGGUUGCUCUACAUUUUAGGAGGGAUGGGGCUUCCUCUGCCUCUUUAAUUAUUACCCAGAAAAGAGAAUAUUGGCAGGUGCAGCUUCUUCAACCCUUGACCGGUUGGGGAAGCCUCACUAGCUGGGAUUCCCCCCAUCGACACCAUUCUUAAAAUCACAGGAACCCUUUUCCCACAGGAAUGCUGGCGGCCGCCUAGUUGAAAGCCCGUGUGGUGGGAAAAUUUUCCCAGUAGUCUCCAAUUUAAAAACAAAAAACCUCUUUUCUCUUUUCCUUCUUUCUUUCUUUUUUCUUUUAAAAUCCCCCUGGCAAUUCAGUUGCUUAGCCCUUGACGCCGUUACUUUAACCACAACUUUUAGGAGUUUUGUGUCUGUUUUUUUUUUUUUUAAUUGGGUUUUAGACCCGGUCCCAAGCCAGGCUUAAUCACUGCAGCUCACUUCCCCGUCCCUGCAGUCCAGAGCCCUCGGAUGUGAAAACAGGAGCGUAGGAGACCGUUCAAGUCAGUGUUUCGCACGGCCGUCUGUGUCUGUACGUGUGUGUUUGUGUAUGCCAGCCUGGCUCACAGCCUGACUCAGCUGAGGGCGUAGCAGUUUUCCAGGGAGAGAGCCGCUCUCUCGACACCCCCACCCCCCAAAAAGCUUUCCCUUCUCUUUCUGCUGCAUGCCUCAUUCCUUCAAGAUCCCAGAGCAAAUCCUGGGAGCACACUCAGAGGUAGGAGUGGGCUGGAGGCCUACAGCAGGGGUCAGCAACCUAAGGUCCGUGGGCCACAAGCAGGCCCACGGGGAUCAUUUAACUGGCCCACGAACCGAGCCGCCCGCUCGGCGAGUCCCCGCGUGCUGCGCUAAACUGGCACACCACAUAGACUUGCUUUCACGGCGCUGGAAAUCACGUCUGCUCAUGCACAGACGCCGGAAAUCGCGUCUGCGCAGAUGCAGAUACUGAAAAUUGCGGGCGCGAUCCAGCCCAUGGAGGGAUCUCCGCUGGAGUAAACCAGCCCAGGCAAGGUAAACUUUGCCGACCCCUGCCCUACAGAGAGGGAAAGGAGAUUUGGGACAUAGCGGGUCCCCUGGGGUCAGCCUCUGCAUGCAGAUCUUUCACUGACCCACCCCAAGAAGAGGCGGAGGGGUAGGGGUUAAUUCAGAAAGUUUGAUUUAGACAGAGAAACUGGCAAGUAUUUGGCAGGGGCCCCUGCUUCCACCCCACUGGGUUGCAAGAACGCCUGCGAUGCCAGGAUCGGGACCCUUGUCACCGAGGCGGGUGGGGAGUCAAAAGAGUGCUCUCUCUCUCUCUCUUUCUCUCUCUUUUUCUUUUCUUGACGAGCCGCAUUGAGAAUUGCAGUCUGAGCGGGACGAAUAGCUGCCCUUGAAACCACUUUUGCCUCGUCCGCCAUUCACCUGUGCCUUCUCGUUACACCAGCACCAAAAAAAAGAGCGAGCGUUCGAUACGUAGAUAAACACACACAUCAUACGGGGGUGGGGAGAGGGAAGAAACAAAACACGCAACCCUCUCCGAUAUCUUCCGCGUUGGUGAGGGCAACCGUGAGUGGCACGGGGAGAAUGGGGGGUGGGGGGAAACGGGCUGCCGUUUUCCUCGGGUCUGCCCCCCACCCCUGCCCCCCCGAGCAAGGGGAAAGAGGCGAUUGGGGAGGAAACCGCCCCCUACACAACUGCCUCCCUGUUCCGAAACACCCCUUCUUCUCCCUGCGUACAAACCGCACGCCAACUUCCAAGCAGGGAGGUUGGCGUGGCAGUGGCAGGAGUGGAGAUCUGGGUAGGAGUUGCAGACGCAAGGCAUUGAGAUCUAACAACGCAGACUGUUCAAUUUCAUUGCGAGCAAAACGCACACACAGAGACACACACGCACACGUAUAUACAUAGAUAUCGCAUAUACACACACGUGUAGAGAGACACAAAACGCACCGAUACCUGCACACAAGCAUGCGCAAUCUCACAACGACGGGCCGCGUUUGGCCCAGGCAGCUCUUUUCUCCGAAAGCCGCAGUUGACCACACGCACAGAACAAUAGAAUUCCCAAGCCGGGUGAAGAACACAGGAUGUUGCGUCUAUCUUUUCUCCUUUUAAUUAUUGCGAUGGUUCUAAUUGUUGUUCUUCUGAUUCCUGACCCGUCGUCGUUUUCCCCUCCCUCCCUUAACCUGUUUUCGUUGUGUUCCUUUUUUCCAAGAGACUUUGGUGAAAUGACUAUGGCACCACCCUUUUUAUUAUGAUUAAUGUCGUCGUUCUGGUAGGGUUGUAGCUGUUUUUUUUAAUUUCCUCGUCCGCCCCCAAAGCCUGGCGCUGCGCCCUCUGCCCCCUCCUUUGAAUUUUAACAAGUCCUGCUACUUUUGUAGAGGGAAGGGGGGGAAAAAGAAAGGGGGGCAAGAGGGGUUGUGUCUCUUUCGUUCCUGUGACCAGCACUCGUUCCACAAAACCUCAAUCCCCAAUCCGCUGUCGUUUUCCUACAGGGCGGCUUCUCUCGCCCACUCAGUGGCAUUCCUGGCGCGGCAGACCCGGUCCACCCCCUUCUUCCCCCGGGGACGUGCCAUGCCGACCACGCAUGAGGUGCUAAACUAUACGCGCAAAAGCUGUGACGUCCCGUCCCCGGCGUCGGUUCUUUGAAGGCCACGCUGUGGCCGUGGUGCUCUCUCUUCACGCCUCCCUUCCACCUGCGAUGGCUGCAAGCCCGGCUCCUCCGCCCUCACUCAGCUCUCUGACCUCGUAUUGGCAACGGGUAGCCAUACCCAAUUGCCGUGGUGCUCAGCUCACUUCCUUGUCCCUCCGUCUGUGUCUCACG